CAUUGCAUAAUUCACAUACUGUAUUUCUACCUAUUUAUUUCCAGAUUUUUCCAUUGGUCUUAGUGGAUAAUUCCAAAUAUACUUUUCUGUUUUGUUUUUCUUUGACUUCUGUAAUAUCUUCAAUUGUCAUUUCAUCCCUGUAGUGGACUUUUGUGACAAGAUGCAAUGUAAUGUAGCGCUACCACUUUACAGUAUGUACAGGCUAUUUAGUAGAGCCACCAGCUAGAACACAGCACAUAGCACAAUAGCACAGUAGCCUAAAGCCACACAUUCUUAUGCAAUAUUCUUGCAUCAUUUGAAGUGUUAACAAGAUCAUAUUCACCUGAAUUAUUAACCUCUCAAUGCACUACAAAUGCAAUACAACAGCGGGAUAUGUUAGUUUUUCCAAUUCUUGUCACAUUUGCAAUGUAAAUAUGAAUCAGCCACAAAAAUUUACCAGUAUAGCAAAAUACACACUUAUUGCUUCUCAAAAUUUCACAAACUGAAAGAAUAACUUUUUCUUAACUCGCAGACUGGCAGAAUAACUUUUCUUUAACUCACAGACUGACCAAAUAAGUUUAAUUUAACUCACAGACAGACAGAAUAAGUUUACUUUAAGGUGUGUUUCAUUUGUAGCUGCUAGUGUGUCCUUCAAAUACCCCCUGGCCAAUCGAAGCUCCUUCUUUCGAGAUAGUUUUCUAUAUAUGCCUCAGACAAAGGGUUAAGGAAAUGUUGACUGAAAGUUGAGAAAUGCUAAAAACAUGAACAAUUUUGGUCAGAUUCUGCACAUCCAUGCUGGCAAGAUUUGAUUUCUGUGUAUCAGGGAUGGACUAGAUGGAUGAUGUCAAAUAAUAUGGGAGCUGACCGAAGUAGCAAUGCAUUGAUUUGUAGGAAAAUAUUAUUGUUAUGAAGCAUAUAUAAUAACACUGGAUGGACCAUGUGGUUGGAUUACAUGUAAACAAUAAAACAGAGAAGGACAAAACUAGAGAAGGUAAGGAACACCUCAAUAUUUAGAUAAUUUUACUGUCAUAAGCAGUUCAGUCUGUUUAAGGUUACAGCUAUUGAUCCAGUGAGCGAUUUGAAAAGCUCUGUUGUUAUUGGGGUUUGGUUUUGGAUUUUUAUCUAUGUAUAUAUUGUUAAAUAGUUGCUCAUGGUUGGAUGUGAGUUUUUUUUAAUGUGUGAAACAAAUGGCAAAACUGUUGGCCAUCACUGAUGAAUGUCAGGGUUCCUGCUCUGCAGACCCUUCAUUGUUCAUGGGAUUAAAAACUGGAGGGAA
This is a long non-coding RNA of Esox lucius (northern pike), 1255 nucleotides long. The record is from Ensembl. NCBI's taxonomy places the organism in Eukaryota, Metazoa, Chordata, Actinopteri, Esociformes, Esocidae.